GAGCUUGCUCCUUUGACGUUAGCGGCGCGCACGUGGUGAGUAACACGUGGAUAACCUACCUAUAAGACUGGGAUAACUUCGGGAAACCGGAGCUAAUACCGGAUAACAUAUUGAACCGCAUGGUUCAAUAGUGAAAGGCGGCUUUGCUGUCACUUAUAGAUGGAUCCGCGCCGUAUUAGCUAGUUGGUAAGGUAACGGCUUACCAAGGCAACGAUACGUAGCCGACCUGAGAGGGUGAUCGGCCACACUGGAACUGAGACACGGUCCAGACUCCUACGGGAGGCAGCAGUAGGGAAUCUUCCGCAAUGGGCGAAAGCCUGACGGAGCAACGCCGCGUGAGUGAUGAAGGUCUUCGGAUCGUAAAACUCUGUUAUCAGGGAAGAACAAAUGUGUAAGUAACUGUGCACAUCUUGACGGUACCUGAUCAGAAAGCCACGGCUAACUACGUGCCAGCAGCCGCGGUAAUACGUAGGUGGCAAGCGUUAUCCGGAAUUAUUGGGCGUAAAGCGCGCGUAGGCGGUUUUUUAAGUCUGAUGUGAAAGCCCACGGCUCAACCGUGGAGGGUCAUUGGAAACUGGAAAACUUGAGUGCAGAAGAGGAAAGUGGAAUUCCAUGUGUAGCGGUGAAAUGCGCAGAGAUAUGGAGGAACACCAGUGGCGAAGGCGACUUUCUGGUCUGUAACUGACGCUGAUGUGCGAAAGCGUGGGGAUCAAACAGGAUUAGAUACCCUGGUAGUCCACGCCGUAAACGAUGAGUGCUAAGUGUUAGGGGGUUUCCGCCCCUUAGUGCUGCAGCUAACGCAUUAAGCACUCCGCCUGGGGAGUACGACCGCAAGGUUGAAACUCA
Molecule: ribosomal RNA, 846 nt
Filed under: Streptomyces albus subsp. albus
Lineage: Bacteria; Bacillati; Actinomycetota; Actinomycetes; Kitasatosporales; Streptomycetaceae
Description: bacterial SSU rRNA
Rfam family: Bacterial small subunit ribosomal RNA
Source: RNAcentral